CCAAGAGUAACCCCCUACAUUAAACGUAUCCGACGCAAUAUAUUUCCCGAUCCCCAAUCCUUUCAACAAUGAGUAACCCGUGAUCUUGAACUGGUGGGACCCAUUCACGGUCUCCGUGAUCGACGAGGAAGUGGUCGUCGAAUUAGACGCCGACGACGAUGAAGAAGACGAAGAAAAAGAGGGCUUCGUAAUAUCUCUGAGAAUCCUUCCCAUGCCCCUGAUUGGACCAAAUUAGCGUAAUUGGGCAAGAAUCUGAGAGGAAAGGGAUAGAAAAUCUAGGACUUUGAAGGGGGAAUUGAAAUCAGUAAUUUGUUAAAAAAUUAUUAAAUUUUGUUUUCUAGGGUUUCGAGGAGCAAAUAAGAGAAGAUGACUAUCAUCAAAAGCGAU
This 387-nucleotide unclassified non-coding RNA is filed under the name Hevea brasiliensis (rubber tree). The record is from RNAcentral. Lineage: Eukaryota; Viridiplantae; Streptophyta; Magnoliopsida; Malpighiales; Euphorbiaceae.